RNAcentral lists this long non-coding RNA (1899 nucleotides) under Homo sapiens (human). RNAcentral's name for it is "HSALNT0248817". Lineage: Eukaryota; Metazoa; Chordata; Mammalia; Primates; Hominidae. The record is from RNAcentral.
CUUUGCCAGCUAGUUUCCUCACAUGCAAAAUGGAUCUAUCAUCUAUCCUGUAGCGUUAAUAGAAAGAUUUAGCGCUGGAUGCCUAAGUACAAAGUGAAUCCUCAAUACAUACUAACUACUGUAUUUAAAAAAACAGAUCUUCAGCUUAAUUAAAUGGAGCUUCAUGAAACAAGAGAUAAAUCUUUAAGUGUGCCCACAGGAAAUUUUGGAUUUGCAUUUGAAGAAAGGUGAGCAAAAGCAAGUCUACAAAACAACGAGCUACAUAUCCCUCAUCCCACCCCGACUCCCUGCCACCAAAUUAAUACCACCUAAUGAAUUACAGGCCCAUGUACCUGAGGAUGUAAAGGUGAAUGGAAUGAAAGGCAAGGGAAUAUUUAGAAUGAGAAAUACCAAAGCAGCAUGGCAUCCACCAGAGGUAGAAUAGAUCUUAAAGAGAAAAGAACCUAGUUUUAAGAAAUGCAGAAUAAAACACAUAAUUUUAACAAUUAAAUGUAUCAACUGGCUGCGCACAGUGGCUUAUGCCUACAAUACCAGCGCUUUGGGAGGAUGAGGUGGGAGAACUGCUUGAAAUCAGGAGGGAGGGAUCUGGUAGGAGGUAACUGAAUCAUGGGGGCAGUUAACGCUAUGCUGCUGUUCUCUUGAUAGUGAGUUCUAACGAGAUCUGAUGGUUUCAUAAGGGGCUUUUCCCCCUUUUGCUUGGCACUUCCUCCUGCCAUCAUGUGAAGAAGGACGUGUUUACUCCCCCUUCGCCAUGAUUGAAUGAUGGAACAAAAAGCAUUCCUAAUCUCUUGGCGUUAAUGCCAUUACUCACUCCAACCUCACUGCUUGUAGAAAGUGGUGUAAUGGUAGAAAUGAGAGAAAAAACGUGGUGAAAUAAGAGAAGGAAGCUCUUCAAUGGCUGGAGUUAAAGGCUGAGAGAGAUAUGUUCCCUGAAAUCCUCUACUACAUAUCCAGAGAAAACAGAAGGAAGCGCCUCACCACACUACAGAUGAGUAACUAAUGAUUUCCUUUCCAUUGCUGACCUGGGAAAGGGUGAGUGGGAGAGAUGGCUUUCUAGUUUCCUGGCUUCUCAGCUAGACAGCCUAGACAUGGCUGUGUUAUAUAACACAGAUUAGAGUGCUAAAAGUUGGAAUCAUCUUCCAAUUAGGAGAUAGUAUAUGUCUUAUUAAAUAUCUGUUAUGUACUGCUGCUUCCAUUAUCUCAUUUAAACUUCAAAAUAGCCCUGCAAAGAAGGUAUUGUUAGUGGUCAAGACCUAUGUUCCUGGCUUUUCUUCUAUUUUAAUAGUUUCUCUUUCUCAAUCUUUUGCUGGCUGGGUCCUUAUUCUUCAUGAAACCUUAAUCAGGAAUGCCAAAGGAUUCAGCCCUAAGACCUCUUCUUUCUUCCUAUACUAUUCAAAGAUGUCCUUAAGAGAUCCACUGAAUCCUAGAUUCACAUAUACAUCUAUCUACUUGACAUUUCCAUUUGGAUAGACAGGCUGUUGCUACCUACUUAUAUCCCUUUGUUAUUCUCCUGCUUAAGUGGUUUCCAUCACAAUUAAAAUCCAAACUUUUUGCCUAUGUCCCUACGAAAUCUAGUUGUUGCCCCACUAGAUUUCCAAUCUCACUCCUAUCACUCAUCCCCUUUACUCAUUAAACUAGAACCACAGUAGACUUUCUGUUCCUCAAAUAUUUCAAACUUAUUUCUACCCUAGACUUUCACAUUUGUCUGUUCUAUUUCCUUUUGUCUCUAGUUCUUCAAGUGGAUGGUUCCUUUCUGUCAAUCAAGUCUCAGUUAAGACAGCACCCCAACUCCAUGGUGACAGAAGCUCCUGUGUUUAGGAUCCUUCUAGACCUCACCCCAUGUAUCUCUUCAUUUGGCUGUUGACUUGUAACCUUUAACAAAUUUUUUGUAAUAAACUG